This 478-nucleotide ribosomal RNA is filed under the name uncultured bacterium. RNAcentral's name for it is "partial 16S ribosomal RNA". It matches the Rfam family "Bacterial small subunit ribosomal RNA", at positions 28 to 523 of the family's 1533-position model. The record is from RNAcentral.
GACGAACGCUGGCGGCGUGCUUAACACAUGCAAGUCGAACGGUAAGGCCCUUCGGGGUACACGAGUGGCGAACGGGUGAGUAACACGUGGGUGAUCUGCCCUGCACUUCGGGAUAAGCCUGGGAAACUGGGUCGAAUACCGGAUAGGACCACUGCCUGCAUGGGCGGUGGGGGAAAGCUUUUGCGGUGUGGGAUGGGCCCGCGGCCUAUCAGCUUGUUGGUGGGGUGAUGGCCUACCAAGGCGACGACGGGUAGCCGGCCUGAGAGGGUGACCGGCCACACUGGGACUGAGAUACGGCCCAGACUCCUACGGGAGGCAGCAGUGGGGAAUAUUGCACAAUAGGCGCAAGCCUGAUGCAGCGACGCCGCGUGAGGGAUGACGGCCUUCGGGUUGUAAACCUCUUUCAGCACCGACGAAGCGCAAGUGACGGUAGGUGCAGAAGAAGGACCGGCCAACUACGUGCCAGCCGCCGCCGUAA